RNAcentral lists this ribosomal RNA (322 nucleotides) under uncultured eukaryote. Its description in RNAcentral is "partial 18S ribosomal RNA". It matches the Rfam family "Eukaryotic small subunit ribosomal RNA", at positions 1470 to 1796 of the family's 1831-position model. The record is from RNAcentral.
CCCUUAGAUGUUCUGGGCCGCACGCGUGCUACACUGAGUAAUUCAAUGGGUAAGGGAACGCUAGAGCAUUACCUAAUCUUGAAAUUUGCUCGUGAUGGGGAUCGACGGUUGCAAUUUUCCGUCGUGAACGAGGAAUACCUUGUAGGCGCAUGUCAUCAUCAUGCGCCGAAUACGUCCCUGCCCUUUGUACACACCGCCCGUCGCUCCUACCGAUUGAGUGAUCCGGUGAGGCUCUGGGACCUGGACGGAAAGAGCGUUUCGCUUGUUCUGUUUGGCAAACUUGGUCGAACCUUAUCAUUUAGAGGAAGGAGAAGUCGUAACA